UAGUAAUCGCGGGUCAGCAUGCCGCGGUGAAUACGUUCUCGGGCCUUGUACACACCGCCCGUCACACCAUGGGAGUCGGUAACACCCGAAGUCUGUAGCCUGACGCAAGAGGGCGCAGCCGAAGGUGGGAUUGAUGACUGGGGUGAAGUCGUAACAAGGUACC
This 163-nucleotide ribosomal RNA is filed under the name uncultured bacterium. Its description in RNAcentral is "partial 16S ribosomal RNA". It matches the Rfam family "Bacterial small subunit ribosomal RNA", at positions 1336 to 1500 of the family's 1533-position model. The record is from RNAcentral.